This 814-nucleotide ribosomal RNA is filed under the name Cassava frogskin disease phytoplasma. RNAcentral describes it as "bacterial SSU rRNA". It matches the Rfam family "Bacterial small subunit ribosomal RNA", at positions 460 to 1283 of the family's 1533-position model. The record is from RNAcentral. Lineage: Bacteria; Bacillati; Mycoplasmatota; Mollicutes; Acholeplasmatales; Acholeplasmataceae.
AAAACUCCCUUGACGGUACUUAAUGAAUAAGCCCCGGCUAAUUAUGUGCCAGCAGCCGCGGUAAUACAUAAGGGGCGAGCGUUAUCCGGAAUUAUUGGGCGUAAAGGGUGCGUAGGCGGUUUAAUAAGUCUAUAGUUUAAUUUCAGUGCUUAACGCUGUUGUGCUAUAGAAACUGUUUUACUAGAGUGAGUUAGAGGCAAGCGGAAUUCCAUGUGUAGCGGUAAAAUGCGUAAAUAUAUGGAGGAACACCAGAGGCGUAGGCGGCUUGCUGGGACUUUACUGACGCUGAGGCACGAAAGCGUGGGGAGCAAACAGGAUUAGAUACCCUGGUAGUCCACACCGUAAACGAUGAGUACUAAGUGUCGGGUAAAACCGGUACUGAAGUUAACACAUUAAGUACUCCGCCUGAGUAGUACGUACGCAAGUAUGAAACUUAAAGGAAUUGACGGGACUCCGCACAAGCGGUGGAUCAUGUUGUUUAAUUCGAAGAUACACGAAAAACCUUACCAGGUCUUGACAUUUUCUUGCGAAGUUAUAGAAAUAUAAUGGAGGUUAUCAGGAAAACAGGUGGUGCAUGGUUGUCGUCAGCUCGUGUCGUGAGAUGUUAGGUUAAGUCCUAAAACGAGCGCAACCCUUGUCGUUAAUUGCCAGCAUGUAAUGAUGGGGACUUUAACGAGACUGCCAAUGAAAAAUUGGAGGAAGGUGGGGAUUACGUCAAAUCAUCAUGCCCCUUAUGAUCUGGGCUACAAACGUGAUACAAUGGUUGAUACAAAGAGUAGCUGAAACGCGAGUUCUUAGCCAAUCUCACAAAAAA